RNAcentral lists this long non-coding RNA (696 nucleotides) under Setaria italica (foxtail millet). RNAcentral describes it as "long non-coding RNA (SITA_LNC004692)". The record is from RNAcentral. Lineage: Eukaryota; Viridiplantae; Streptophyta; Magnoliopsida; Poales; Poaceae.
GACGCCCAAGUCGGUCCUGAGGGCGAUGGCCGUGCCGGAGCUCACGCUCUACCACCUCAAGAGCCACCUCCAGGUGCCCCCACCGCGCCGCCGAUCGCCGGAAAAUUUUUAUUCUCUUAAUCGCGAGCUCUGCUCGAGCUGAAUUCUGGCUACUGCUGCUGCUGCAGAAGUACCGGCUGGCGGUGAGCCGAGGCCUCAUCACCACCUCACCCGGCGACAACGGAGAGGGCGCCAACGACCGCUCAUCCUCCUCGGAGAACGAGUACGACGAGGACGCCGUCGCCGAGUUGCAUGGUGCAUUCACCGCCGACGAUGGAGCCGGUGCUAAAGAAGGUCUCUGCGAUUCUUCCAGGAGCAUGGCACGGAUGCACAGGGAGGUGCAGAGGAAGCUGCAGGAGCAGAUCGAGGUAAACGAUCGAUCAGUCACCAUUCCGAAUUUAUUCUGACAGAUUCAGACUGCUAGUUCACGGAUGCCGAUCAAGCAGAGCUUAAGCUUAUUGGUUCCAUGCUCGUUCUCGGCAGGUCCAGAGGCACCUGCAGCUGAGGAUCGAGGCGCAGGGGAGGUACCUGCAGUCCGUGCUGCACCGAGCGUACGAGGUCCUCUCUGACGACCACAACCUCGGAUCGCCGGCGGCCACGGAGCUCUCGGAGCUGGCCUCCGCGGUGGAGUCCGGGUGCCUGUCCUCCUCCUCCUCC